GCCGGGUGUGGUGGUGCACAUGUGUAAUCCCAGUAACUUGGGAGGCUGAGACAGGAUCUUGAGUUCAAAGCCACCCUCAGCAACAGUGAGGCACUAAGCAACUCAUUGAGACCCUGUCUCUA
RNAcentral lists this small RNA (122 nucleotides) under Marmota monax (woodchuck). Lineage: Eukaryota; Metazoa; Chordata; Mammalia; Rodentia; Sciuridae. The record is from RNAcentral.